GACGAACGCUGGCGGCGUGCUUAACACAUGCAAGUCGAACGAUGAAGAAAAGAAUCGAAGCUUCGGCAGAAAUUCAUUUCGGAUUAGUGGCAGACGGGUGAGUAACGCGUGAGCAACCUACCUCUUACAAAGGGAUAGCCUCGGGAAACCGGGAUUAAUACCAUAUAACAUUGCGACGAAGCAUUUCGAUGCAAUCAAAGCUACGGCGGUAAGAGAUGGGCUCGCGUCCCAUUAACCGGAUGGUGAGGUAACGGCUCACCAUAGUGACGAUGGGUAACCGGGAUGGGAGGGUGAACGGUCACACUGGAGCUGAGACACGGUCCAGACUCCUACGGGAGGGAGCAGUGGGGAAUAUUGCACAAUGGAGGGAACUCUGAUGCAGCGACGCCGCGUGAGUGAUGAAGGAAUUCGUUUCGUAAAACUCUGUUCUAUGGGAAGAAAAGGACUGUACCAUAGGAGAAAGCACCGGCUAAAUACGUG
Molecule: ribosomal RNA, 480 nt
Filed under: uncultured bacterium
Lineage: Bacteria
Description: partial 16S ribosomal RNA
Rfam family: Bacterial small subunit ribosomal RNA
Source: RNAcentral